AGCGAACGCUGUCGGCAGGCUUAACACAUGCAAGUCGAACGGGCACUUCGGUGUCAGUGGCAGACGGGUGAGUAACACGUGGGAACGUACCUUUUGGUUCGGAACAACUGAGGGAAACUUCAGCUAAUACCGGAUAAGCCCUUACGGGGAAAGAUUUAUCGCCGAAAGAUCGGCCCGCGUCUGAUUAGCUAGUUGGUAGGUUAAUGGCCCCCCAAGGCGACGAUAAGUAGCUGGUCUGAGAGGAUGAUCAGCCACAUUGGGACUGAGACACGGCCCACACUCCUACGGGAGGCAGCAGUGGGGAAUAUUGGACAAUGGGGGCAACCCUGAUCCAGCCAUGCCGCGUGAUUGAUGAAGGCCCUAGGGUUGUAAAGCUCUUUUGUGCGGGAAGAUAAUGACGGUACCGCAAGAAUAAGCCCCGGCUAACUUCGUGCCAGCCGCCGCCGUAA
RNAcentral lists this ribosomal RNA (449 nucleotides) under uncultured bacterium. RNAcentral describes it as "partial 16S ribosomal RNA". It matches the Rfam family "Bacterial small subunit ribosomal RNA", at positions 29 to 523 of the family's 1533-position model. The record is from RNAcentral.